Molecule: ribosomal RNA, 313 nt
Filed under: uncultured bacterium
Lineage: Bacteria
Description: bacterial SSU rRNA
Rfam family: Bacterial small subunit ribosomal RNA
Source: RNAcentral
GACGAACGCUGGCGGCGUGCCUAAUACAUGCAAGUAGAACGCUGACUACUUUAGCUUGCUAGAGUAGAAGGAGUUGCGAACGGGUGAGUAACGCGUAGGUAACCUGCCUACUAGCGGGGGAUAACGUCUGGAAACGGACGCUAAUACCGCAUAACAUAUUGUUUUCGCAUGGAGAUGAUAUCAAAGGAGCAAUCCGCUUUAAGAUGGACUCGCGUCCAAUUAGCUAGUUGGUGGGGUAACGGCCCACCAAGGCGACGAUUGGUAGCCGGACUGAGAGGUUGAACGGCCACAUUGGGACUGAGACACGGCCCAG